CUAUAAAAAAGACACCACCUGCUCACUUUAUAACUCACCACCAUCAUAUUACGGAAGCCAUACGCUACCGGAUUGCUGAUCUUAACUGUUCCGGUGACGAUGUCCGAUCAAAGCCCUAAAUCAAUUUUCCCGGUGAUCAUCUUCUCAAGGAGAUGGGGAGCAUUAAGCGAAUGUCUGAGGCUAUUUGGAGUUCAAUUCAGUCAGGGGUUAUCUUGUAAGAUUUCGCACAGUUUCGAUGCUGGUGUCCCCAAGGUGUAAUUUACCCUUUCAAAGUUUCAAUAUUCUUUAUCGCACACUCAAUUGGACAGACUUUCGUAAACACCCUCACUGUAGGUGUAGUAGAAUCAGGUGUUGAACCAUUCUUCACAGCAGGUGCUGAACUAUCCUCCGUCGCCUUGUAUAAUAGUACUGGUCUCUUUUGGGGUUUAGUGGUUCUUUUCUCAUCAGUGAUUUCAUAGUAAUAGGAGUUAUUGACAAGCUGAAUAUGUAAUUUGCCUUUUAGAUCGGUGACCUUUAUCCAAAUACAUUCUGCACGCUCAUCAUCGUUCACGGUUACCUUGUCAAUACAGAUGAUUUCAAGAAUUAAUAACUUGUGCUUAGCUACAUAUUCCCCCCAUCCUUUUCCUCCAAGGUAUUAUCCCUCCUCACAAACGGCAGUAACCGGUAUCUGUUGCUAUCGGCAUUGGGACCUUCUAUAUUAAGGUGGAUGACAAUGGAUCUGGUGUCUCACGAGAUGGACUGGUGCUGAUGGGAAAAAGAUGUGGUAAUCUUUUUGCAGAAUGUUGGACUGACAUCAUCUUUUUUAUUGUAUUGAUGCUGCUGUCCAUAAUUUGUUUUGCCUGACAACUAUGAUGUUCAUAACUUGGAAUGGGAUUGCAUGCAUUACUCAACUGAUAGGUUGUUUGACUGUUUGUGUUCAUUAGUAUCUUUUUACAGAUGUUCUUUUAUUUAUUAUUUUGCGGUUUUACUUGUAAUUAGGAAAAGUGGUUUGGCUGUUCACAACACAAAAUAUUGAUGCUGACAUUUU
Long non-coding RNA from Solanum dulcamara, 1027 nucleotides. RefSeq lists it as uncharacterized. Lineage: Eukaryota; Viridiplantae; Streptophyta; Magnoliopsida; Solanales; Solanaceae. The transcript is spliced from 5 exons. The record is from RefSeq and is a predicted model, not a curated record.